This 579-nucleotide ribosomal RNA is filed under the name uncultured bacterium. RNAcentral describes it as "bacterial SSU rRNA". It matches the Rfam family "Bacterial small subunit ribosomal RNA", at positions 354 to 924 of the family's 1533-position model. The record is from RNAcentral.
GUGGGGAAUAUUGGACAAUGGGCGCAAGCCUGAUCCAGCCAUGCCGCGUGUGUGAAGAAGGCCUUCGGGUUGUAAAGCACUUUUGUACGGGAAGAAAAGCACCCGGUUAAUACCCGGGUGUCAUGACGGUACCGUAAGAAUAAGCACCGGCUAACUUCGUGCCAGCAGCCGCGGUAAUACGAAGGGUGCAAGCGUUACUCGGAAUUACUGGGCGUAAGGCGUGCGUAGGUGGUUUGUUAAGUCUGAUGUGAAAGCCCUGGGCUCAACCUGGGAAUUGCAUUGGAUACUGGCAGUCUAGAGUGCGGUAGAGGGUAGCGGAAUUCCCGGUGUAGCAGUGAAAUGCGUAGAUAUCGGGAGGAACAUCCGUGGCGAAGGCGGCUACCUGGACCAGCACUGACACUGAGGCACGAAAGCGUGGGGAGCAAACAGGAUUAGAUACCCUGGUAGUCCACGCCCUAAACGAUGCGAACUGGAUGUUGGGGGCAAUUGAGCCUUCAGUAUCGAAGCUAACGCGUUAAGUUCGCCGCCUGGGAAGUACGGUCGCAAGACUGAAACUCAAAGGAAUUGACGGGGGCCCGC